This 253-nucleotide ribosomal RNA is filed under the name uncultured bacterium. RNAcentral's name for it is "partial 16S ribosomal RNA". It matches the Rfam family "Bacterial small subunit ribosomal RNA", at positions 524 to 776 of the family's 1533-position model. The record is from RNAcentral.
UACGAGGAGGGCAAAUGUUGUUCGGAAUCAUUGGGCGUAAAGGGAGCGUAGGCGGGUUUCUAAGUCAGGUGUUUAAUCCCGGGGCCCAACCCCGGACAGGCACUUGAAACUGGGAAUCUUGAAUAGUGGAGAGGUCAGUGGAAUUGGGGGUGUAGCGGUGGAAUGCGUAGAGAUCCCCAAGAACACCAGUUGCGAAGGCGGCUGACUGGACACAUAUUGACGCUGAGGCUCGAAAGCAUGGGGAGCAAACAGG